This 449-nucleotide ribosomal RNA is filed under the name uncultured bacterium. RNAcentral describes it as "bacterial SSU rRNA". It matches the Rfam family "Bacterial small subunit ribosomal RNA", at positions 329 to 794 of the family's 1533-position model. The record is from RNAcentral.
UGCCAGACUCCUACGGGAGGCAGCAGUGGGGGAUAUUGCACAAUGGGGGGAACCCUGAUGCAGCGACGCCGCGUGGGUGAAGGAGUGCUUCGGCAUGUAAAGCCCUAUCGGCAGGGAAGAAGCAAGACGGUACCUGACUAAGAAGCCCCGGCUAACUACGUGCCAGCAGCCGCGGUAAUACGUAGGGAGCAAGCGUUGUCCGGAUUUACUGGGUGUAAAGGGUGCGUAGGCGGCUUUGCAAGUCAGAAGUGAAAUCCGUGGGCUUAACCCAUGAACUGCUUUUGAAACUGCAGAGCUUGAGUGGAGUAGAGGUAGGCGGAAUUCCCGGUGUAGCGGUGAAAUGCGUAGAGAUCGGGAGGAACACCAGUGGCGAAGGCGGCCUACUGGGCUCUAACUGACGCUGAGGCACGAAGGCGUGGGUAGCAACCAGGAUUAGAUACCCUUGUAGA